UUGAUUGAAUCAAUCUUUCUUACAGAUAAGGUGAAAUUAGCUGUACAAAGUCAGUAGUUUAAAACUGUUGAUCAAGAAACAAAAUGAAAAAUGAACAGCAGGUGGCAGUACUAUCAAGAGCAGUGAUUCUGAUGAGUGUCAUCAGCUAGUGUUCGUGUACUGUCCGUUCUUCUGCAAAAGAAAGAUACUGAGACACUCUUUUCUUGCAUGAAAUAGAGCAAGUGAGAAGGCAGGGUGCUCCAUGUUUUGAGAAGUUACAGGAAUUCUGCAAUCUCAGAGAGCAUCUGUCUGACAAAGGCACUCUGCAGACCUGCUGCUCCUUUUCUGUGUAUAUCCUGUGUAGGUAUCCCUUAACCUUCUGUAAGACAUACUAGCCUCUGGGGCUUAGGAUAAGCAUGUAUUUGCUCUAAAUAGUUUCAUCUAUUUAGGAUCACUAAUUUGAAUUUCGCUUUCAUUAACAGUAUCUCAUCCA
This 472-nucleotide long non-coding RNA is filed under the name Cyanistes caeruleus (blue tit). RNAcentral's name for it is "lncRNA (ENSCCEG00000016572.1)". The record is from RNAcentral. Lineage: Eukaryota; Metazoa; Chordata; Aves; Passeriformes; Paridae.